GUUAGGAAUAUUGGACAAUGGGCGCAAGCCUGAUCCAGCCAUGCCGCGUGAGUGAUGAAGGCCUUCGGGUUGUAAAGCUCUUUAACCGAUGAUUAUAAUGACUGUAGUCGGAAAAUAAGCCCCGGCUAACUUCGUGCCAGCAGCCGCGGUAAUACGAAGGGGGCGAGCGUUAUUCGGAAUCACUGGGCGUAAAGCGUGCGUAGGCGGCUUUGCAAGUUGGGAGUGAAAGCCCAGGGCUCAACCCUGGAAUUGCUCUCAAAACUGCAAGGCUCGAAUUCGGGAGAGGAUAGCGGAAUUGUCAGUGUAGCAGUGAAAUGUGUAGAUAUUGACAGGAACACCAGUGGCGUAAGCGGCUAUCUGGACCGAUAUUGACGCUGAGGCACGAAAGCGUGGGGAUCAAACAGGAUUAGAAACCCGUGUAGUCC
Molecule: ribosomal RNA, 425 nt
Filed under: uncultured bacterium
Lineage: Bacteria
Description: partial 16S ribosomal RNA
Rfam family: Bacterial small subunit ribosomal RNA
Source: RNAcentral